GAUGAAGAACGCAGCAAAAUGCGAUAAGUAAUGUGAAUUGCAGAAUUCAGUGAAUCAUCGAAUCUUUGAACGCACAUUGCGCCCGCUGGUAUUCCGGCGGGCAUGCCUGUUCGAGCGUCAUUUCAACCCUCAAGCUCUCCGGAGUUUGGUGUUGGGGCGCCUGGGGCUUUUCGACCUCAGGGCCCUCAAGUCCAUCGGCGGGACCGCCAGGACACUGAGCGCAGUAGUAUUAUUUCGCUCGGUAGGAUCUUCCACGGCGGGUCGAUCUGGCCGCUAAACCCCCCAAUUCUCACCAAAGGUUGACCUCGGAUCAGGUAGGAAUACCCGCUGAACUUAAGCAUAUCAAUAAGCGGAGGA
This 357-nucleotide unclassified non-coding RNA is filed under the name soil metagenome. Its description in RNAcentral is "partial contains 5.8S ribosomal RNA, internal transcribed spacer 2, and large subunit ribosomal RNA". The stretch from base 1 to 120 matches the Rfam family "5.8S ribosomal RNA", at positions 35 to 154 of the family's 154-position model. The record is from RNAcentral.